Molecule: ribosomal RNA, 886 nt
Filed under: uncultured bacterium
Lineage: Bacteria
Description: bacterial SSU rRNA
Rfam family: Bacterial small subunit ribosomal RNA
Source: RNAcentral
GGCUCAGAACGAACGUGGGCGGCGUGGAUUAGGCAUGCAAGUCGAACGAAGCUAGUCCGGUAGCAAUACCGGGCUAGACUGAGUGGCGAAAGGGGCAGUAAUGCGUGGGUAACCUACCUCUGGGACGGGGAUAGCCCUCCUAACGGAGGGGUAAUACCCGGCGAGUUGAGCGAGGGGCAUCUCUUGCUCAGGAAAUGAAUUUCGCCUGGAGAGGGGCUCACGUGCUAUUAGCUAGUUGGCGGGGUAACGGCCCACCAAGGCAAAGAUGGCUAGCGGGUGUGAGAGCACGACCCGCGCCACUGGCACUGAGACACUGGCCAGACUCCUACGGGAGGCUGCAGUCGAGGAUCUUCGGCAAUGGGCGCAAGCCUGACCGAGCGACGCCGCGUGCGCGAUGAAGGCCUUCGGGUUGUAAAGCGCUGUCGAGGGGGAGGAAAACCCGCAAGGGUCUGACCUAUCCCUGGAGGAAGCACGGGCUAAGUUCGUGCCAGCAGCCGCGGUAAGACGAACCGUGCAAACGUUGUUCGGAAUCACUGGGCUUAAAGGGCGCGUAGGCGGGCUUCAAAGUCGGUGGUGAAAUCUUUCGGCUCAACCGGAAAACAGCCGCCGAUACUGGGAGUCUCGAGGGAGGUAGGGGUCGAUGGAACUUCAGGUGGAGCGGUGAAAUGCGUAGAUAUCUGAAGGAACGCCGGUGGCGAAAGCGAUCGACUGGACCUCUUCUGACGCUGAGGCGCGAAAGCCAGGGGAGCAAACGGGAUUAGAUACCCCGGUAGUCCUGGCCCUAAACGAUGGGUACCAGAUUGUGGACUGGACAUGGGUUCACAGUCGAGGCAAAAGUGUUAAGUACCCCGCCUGGGGAGUAUGGGUCGCAGGCUGAAACUCAAAG